AUUGAACGCUGGCGGCAGGCCUAACACAUGCAAGUCGAGCGAGCGGCGGACGGGUGAGUAAUGUAUGGGGAUCUGCCCGCUAGAGGGGGAUAACUACUGGAAACGGUGGCUAAUACCGCAUACUAUCGGAUGUACCCAUAUGGGAUUAGCUAGUGGGUGGGGUAACGGCUCACCUGGGCGACGAUCCCUAGCUGGUCUGAGAGGAUGAUCAGCCACACUGGGACUGAGACACGGUCCAGACUCCUACGGGAGGCAGCAGUGGGGAAUAUUGCAAAAUGGGCGCAAGCCUGAUGCAGCCAUGCCGCGUGUAUGAAGAAGGCCUUAGGGUUGUAAAGUACUUUCAGCGGGGAGGCGUUACCCGAAGAAGAAGCACCGGCUAACUCCGUGCCAGCAGCCGCGGUAAUAC
This 406-nucleotide ribosomal RNA is filed under the name uncultured bacterium. RNAcentral's name for it is "partial 16S ribosomal RNA". It matches the Rfam family "Bacterial small subunit ribosomal RNA", at positions 30 to 526 of the family's 1533-position model. The record is from RNAcentral.